Pantherophis guttatus is the source of this 686-nucleotide long non-coding RNA. RefSeq lists it as uncharacterized. The record is from RefSeq and is a predicted model, not a curated record. NCBI's taxonomy places the organism in Eukaryota, Metazoa, Chordata, Lepidosauria, Squamata, Colubridae.
AACAAUUCUGAUAGUUUGCAUUUAUGUCAGAAGCACCAAGAAACUUCCAGGGUGAAAGAAUUAGCUGGUGACAUCACCGUUGCCUGCAGGAUGCCUUGUUGGGGACUCCGUUCAUGUUUGGAGAUGUUGAAGCGAAGGAUGGAAGUUCAACCCCACCCCACAGAAGAACUCGGUUCUCCAACACGGGCUUGCCAACCUCCAUCCCAGCAUCCUAACUACCAUGCUCCUCUUCUGAUAGUUAACAUGGAACUAUUUGAACUUCCAGAUGAAUGAGUGGAGACUAAAGGACAAGGUGCUUGGACCACAAGGGCAGUAAAGAGACCAACAGAAUUCCCCAUGCCAUCAUUCCCUCAAAAUGUCUGAAGAAGGAACAGUUGUUUUAAAGGUUAUAGGAACACAGGCACCGGCUAGCCUGAAAGAAUUGGCCUUUUAUGUGAGGAAAUCAGAACAUAAGCAUUUAUUGAUAUCCAGGAUGAUUAUUUACAGCACAAGUACUUGGCCUUGGAAGUCUCCCUCUGAUUUCUGUAGGAACAGAAAAAUACCCACUGAAUACUUUUGAUCCUAAAUUAUAUAUAUAUAUAUAAGACAGAAUCCAUUUCCAUCAUUUACUUUCCCUUCAGGAACCUGCCCUUUUCCUUUCUCCCACCAAUACAGGAGCCCUGGUAGCACAGCAGACUAAAGCACUG